This 205-nucleotide ribosomal RNA is filed under the name uncultured bacterium. RNAcentral's name for it is "partial 16S ribosomal RNA". It matches the Rfam family "Bacterial small subunit ribosomal RNA", at positions 1297 to 1500 of the family's 1533-position model. The record is from RNAcentral.
AUUGUAGUCUGCAACCCGACUACANGAAGCUGGAAUCGCUAGUAAUCGCGGAUCAGAAUGCCGCGGUGAAUACGUUCCCGGGUCUUGUACACACCGCCCGUCACACCAUGGGAGUCGGAAAUGCCCGAAGUCUGUGACCCAACCAUUAAGGAGGGAGCAGCCGAAGGCAGGUCGGAUGACUGGGGUGAAGUCGUAACAAGGUACC